CCUCUAUAAUGAUAAUCAUGGCUUAGACAUGUAGUUUUGACAUGUAUUAAUGUUUUUUUUAAGUAGUCUAGAUUUUUAGUUAAUAAAAAUUGAAUUGAUACAUAUGUUGUGCUCAUAGUACUUUUUUCUUAUUCAAUAGAGUAGCUUUUAUUGAUUAAUUUUUUUCAUAAUGGGGCAGGGAUGGGGAAUCCCUGAUUUGAAUAUUGCAGGUAUGAAUGCAUGAAGGGGGUGAAAAUGCUUAACAGGGACAGGGAUUGGAAUGGUAUACCCACCCCGAUUCGAUCCAUUGCCACCACUCGUCGCUCGCUCUCACAUCCUCAAGCCGCAUCAUCUGUCUCCAUAUUCAGAGGUCGUAGAAAGAGUGGCAGUUCUGGCUGAGAAAUAAAGAUUCUCUACUGAUACAUGACCAAAAUAUCAAUUUCACCCCCUCAUUUGUUUUCUUUUCUGGGUUAAGAAGUUUUUCCUCUUGUUUCAAUUGGACCAAUAUCAAAAUGCAACAGGCAAAUCAGAAUUACAGUAGCAAAUAAAUUUGUCUUUACUGACAGACCAUAAAAAAUACAGGUGGAUGAGUUGAAGCAAGACCUGGGGGACUAGAAGAAUCUAGCAGAGCAUGUUACCAAACAGAUUGCAAAGCAUAAAUUUGAAAGAAUGUAAUCCCACUGGCAGAAGGGGAAAUAUCGAUACUAUUUAUUCUUGUACAUUGAGGAAAUACUUGUAACUUAAUGCAGUGGAUUUAUAAUAUUCAAUAAAUUUAAAAGAUUGUUUGACUU
This is a long non-coding RNA of Prunus persica (peach), 770 nucleotides long. RefSeq lists it as uncharacterized. NCBI's taxonomy places the organism in Eukaryota, Viridiplantae, Streptophyta, Magnoliopsida, Rosales, Rosaceae. The record is from RefSeq and is a predicted model, not a curated record. The transcript is spliced from 2 exons.